This 524-nucleotide ribosomal RNA is filed under the name Bifidobacterium breve. RNAcentral describes it as "bacterial SSU rRNA". It matches the Rfam family "Bacterial small subunit ribosomal RNA", at positions 158 to 692 of the family's 1533-position model. Lineage: Bacteria; Bacillati; Actinomycetota; Actinomycetes; Bifidobacteriales; Bifidobacteriaceae. The record is from RNAcentral.
GGGUGGUAAUGCCGGAUGCUCCAGUUGAUCGCAUGGUCUUCUGGGAAAGCCUUUGCGGCAUGGGAUGGGGUCGCGUCCUAUCAGCUUGAUGGCGGGGUAACGGCCCACCAUGGCUUCGACGGGUAGCCGGCCUGAGAGGGCGACCGGCCACAUUGGGACUGAGAUACGGCCCAGACUCCUACGGGAGGCAGCAGUGGGGAAUAUUGCACAAUGGGCGCAAGCCUGAUGCAGCGACGCCGCGUGAGGGAUGGAGGCCUUCGGGUUGUAAACCUCUUUUGUUAGGGAGCAAGGCAUUUUGUGUUGAGUGUACCUUUCGAAUAAGCACCGGCUAACUACGUGCCAGCAGCCGCGGUAAUACGUAGGGUGCAAGCGUUAUCCGGAAUUAUUGGGCGUAAAGGGCUCGUAGGCGGUUCGUCGCGUCCGGUGUGAAAGUCCAUCGCUUAACGGUGGAUCCGCGCCGGGUACGGGCGGGCUUGAGUGCGGUAGGGGAGACUGGAAUUCCCGGUGUAACGGUGGAAUGUGUA